GAUCAUGGCUCAGGAUGAACGCUAGCUACAGGCCUAACACAUGCAAGUCGAGGGGCAGCAUGGUCUUAGCUUGCUAAGGCUGAUGGCGACCGGCGCACGGGUGAGUAACACGUAUCCAACCUGCCGUCUACUCUUGGCCAGCCUUCUGAAAGGAAGAUUAAUCCAGGAUGGGAGUCAUGAGUUCACAUGUCCGCAUGAUUAAAGGUAUUUUCCGGUAGACGAUGGGGAG
Molecule: ribosomal RNA, 229 nt
Filed under: uncultured bacterium
Lineage: Bacteria
Description: partial 16S ribosomal RNA
Rfam family: Bacterial small subunit ribosomal RNA
Source: RNAcentral